RNAcentral lists this ribosomal RNA (810 nucleotides) under uncultured bacterium. Its description in RNAcentral is "bacterial SSU rRNA". It matches the Rfam family "Bacterial small subunit ribosomal RNA", at positions 60 to 876 of the family's 1533-position model. The record is from RNAcentral.
AGUCGAGGGGUAUGGUUCUUCGGAACCAGAGACCGGCGCACGGGUGCGUAACGCGUAUGCAAUCUGCCUUUCACAGAGGGAUAGCCCAGAGAAAUUUGGAUUAAUACCUCAUAGUAUAGCGACAUCGCAUGAUGAUGCUAUUAAAGUCACAACGGUGAAAGAUGAGCAUGCGUCCCAUUAGCUAGUUGGUAAGGUAACGGCUUACCAAGGCAACGAUGGGUAGGGGUCCUGAGAGGGAGAUCCCCCACACUGGUACUGAGACACGGACCAGACUCCUACGGGAGGCAGCAGUGAGGAAUAUUGGUCAAUGGGCGCAAGCCUGAACCAGCCAUGCCGCGUGCAGGAUGACGGUCCUAUGGAUUGUAAACUGCUUUUGCACAGGAAGAAACACUGAUUCGUGAAUCAGCUUGACGGUACUGUGAGAAUAAGGAUCGGCUAACUCCGUGCCAGCAGCCGCGGUAAUACGGAGGAUCCAAGCGUUAUCCGGAAUCAUUGGGUUUAAAGGGUCCGUAGGCGGUCUGGUAAGUCAGUGGUGAAAGCCCAUCGCUCAACGGUGGAACGGCCAUUGAUACUGCUGGACUUGAAUUAUUAGGAAGUAACUAGAAUAUGUAGUGUAGCGGUGAAAUGCUUAGAGAUUACAUGGAAUACCAAUUGCGAAGGCAGGUUACUACUAAUGGAUUGACGCUGAUGGACGAAAGCGUGGGUAGCGAACAGGAUUAAAUACCCUGGUAGUCCACGCCGUAAACGAUGGAUACUAGCUGUUGGAAGCAAUUUCAGUGGCUAAGCGAAAGUGAUAAGUAUCCCACCUGG